AGUAAAGUCGUAACCAGGUUUCCGUAGGUGACCNUGCGGAGGGAUCAUUA
Molecule: ribosomal RNA, 50 nt
Filed under: Inocybe diabolica
Lineage: Eukaryota; Fungi; Basidiomycota; Agaricomycetes; Agaricales; Inocybaceae
Description: partial 18S ribosomal RNA
Source: RNAcentral